GCGGGUGUAGUUCAACGGUAGAACCUCAGCCUUCCAAGCUGAUGACGAGGGUUCGAGUCCCUUCACCCGCUCCA
This 74-nucleotide transfer RNA is filed under the name Granulosicoccus antarcticus IMCC3135. RNAcentral describes it as "tRNA-Gly". It matches the Rfam family "tRNA". From Rfam's summary of the family: Transfer RNA (tRNA) molecules are approximately 80 nucleotides in length. The record is from RNAcentral. RNAcentral also lists the same sequence under 3 other names. Lineage: Bacteria; Pseudomonadati; Pseudomonadota; Gammaproteobacteria; Chromatiales; Granulosicoccaceae.